RNAcentral lists this long non-coding RNA (31425 nucleotides) under Sorghum bicolor (sorghum). Its description in RNAcentral is "long non-coding RNA (SBIC_LNC006209)". Lineage: Eukaryota; Viridiplantae; Streptophyta; Magnoliopsida; Poales; Poaceae. The record is from RNAcentral.
GGACAGAUGCUCUCAUUUAGAGUAACGGACACGGAUGGACAAACUAUUGAAUUCACAAACGUUGUGCCACAAGGAUGGAAGUUUGGCCAAACAUUUGCAUCCAAGUUACAGUUCAAGUGAGCUCCGUACGUACAGGAUUUCCAAUGACCUAAAUAGUUGCGCACUUGUGGGAGUAUAUAUGAUUCAAAGACGCUCAAAAUGUAUGCAUGCAUGUAUGGAUCGGAGUUGCUGGAGUCGUACACUAUAUAUAUAUAUAUAUAUAUAUAUAUAUAUAUAUAUAUAUAUAUAUAUAUAUAUAUAUAUAGACAUGCAUUACUUGUAUAUAUAAAUACGGAUUCUUAGCAUCUAUUUCUAAUUGUGUAUAUUCAUGUUUAAAUUAAAUUUAUGUUGUGUGUAUAUAAAGAUACGAGAGCGUGCAUAUCCUCUCAAGCCACAUUUAUUCUGCUGCACUAAUGUAAACGAACCAUGCUUCCGUGAGUUAGUGCAAAUACUUUCAUGUUUGAUAUUCCAACAUGAAAGAAUUAACUGGCGAAUCGACCUUGUCUAUUUGUGGUUCAGACGUAUUUGUUCUAAAAAUGUAAAUGCAAAGAUAAAUGUAAGUUCUCAUAUUUUUAGUGGGCAUAGUCAUAAACGGUAUUAAUUAAUUGAAAUAUGAUACAGGAAUAUUAUUUUGUUCAAGUACUGUUAUGGGUUCAUAAGCAGAAACCACCUUCAUCUGAUCUCGUGCGCAGUCCUAGUCCCUUCUCCUGUUGUCCAGUCGCCCGUUCCUGCGCGAGCCCAGCGAGGGUGGCCAUCUGCCUGUGCCGUUCGAGAGCGACGGUGCCGCAGUCACGCUGUCGUCCAGUGCCAUCCCCCGCGGAUCUUUGACACCCCGGGCAAGCUCUGCCUCAUUGGGUUCGGCACCACCAUGGCUGGGUUGGCUUGCAGCUCAGCCAUGGGCUGCUCAGCCGCCGCGGACUGAGGCAUCACAUCGUCUUCCUAAGGUUCUCCUCCAAGCAAGGACUGGACCAGCCCGUGCUCGGCAACAUCAAUUCCCUCCCUAACUUUGCUUCUGCAUACGCGCUUUGGUUCUCUCCCCGAUCAGCGUGUGCUCUCGACGACAGAGGCCCGUGCAGGAGUACGACAUGCGGCCGGUUGUCCUCACCGUGCUCAGACUCCCCCCACCUCCGUCUCCCUCCCACAUUGCCUUUUCCAGCUCUAUCAUAAAAGCUAAAAUCCAUCCAUAGUGAAUCGAUUAAAGAAGAUCAGUGCUUCUCGAAAAUGACGUUGGUCAACUGCUGGUGAGAUGUAGGUUAGAUCACAUGGUAACUAUGCCACAACGGAUCUGCUUAGUUUGUGCUGUAUAAUGAAUAUUUUUCUCCGUAGAAACUACUACUAAAAUUAUGCAUUGGAGAGAAUAGUUUCUAGUUGUAAGGUAUUCGAGCCAUAGGAACCGUACAUAGUUUUUAAAUUGGAAGUGCCUUAAUAAAUCAAGGGUGGUGAUUACAAUGCGAGAGAUUUUGGUGCACUACCGGAAUCCCUAGCUAUGCCGUGAGCUGGGGACUUUGUCGUGUGCUUCCCAUCAGGCACACGACAAAGAUCUACUUUGCCGAGUGCCGCAAGCCCGGCACACGGCAUAUCAAAAACUUUCGGCAUAACGGCUCUUCAUCGUGGGCUAAAUCUUUAGCGCACGGCAAAGAGGACGAAUUUGCCGUGAGCCGAACUAAAGCCCUCGGCAAAAAAAACACGACAUCAGCUUGCCGUCACUUUGCCCUCGGUCGUUAGAUUGUUUUUAUGUGCCGAGUGCCACAAAGACACACGGCGUAAGAUUUUGCUGUGUGCCCAACGGAUGGUGCACGACAAAGAGGGUCUUCACCGUCAGCUACUGUGCCGUGCGGUCUUUGUCGUGCCCUCUGCAUGACAAAGUGUUUGCUGUGUGCUUUAGGCACUUUGCCGUGUGCCGACAAAACUCUCGAAUCCGGUAGUGGUGGUUAACACUUAGACACAAGAAGAUUUAUCAUGGUUUAGGUUUCAAACCUCCAGAGAGAGUUCUUUGUGUUAGAAUACUCAAGUGAGUUUUUUGCAAAUUACAAUUGAGAGAGAGAGAAAGAAAGAGAGUAGGAGAGCGUUUGGCUAGUUCUCAUGUCACUACAGGAGACAGACGCUUUGUCUAGUGUCUCUGGCACUCGGCAAAGGCCUAAAUACACUCGGCAAAGCCUUUGCCAAGUGUCACACUUUGCCGAGUGCGGCAAAAAUCUGGCCGACAAAGGGGUCUUUGCCGAGUGUUUUUUAUCGGACACUCGGCAAAGGCUUUGCCGAGUGUUGACACUCGGCAAAGAUAAAAAUAAAAAAAAAUCCAAAAAAAUAAGAAUUUUUUUUAGGGAGAGGGCAGCCAUUAUAGCCAGCAUCCACCACUACACCCUCCACCUUUUUUCUAGCAUUUUUCCACAAAAUCCGCAUAUGUGCCGGCAGCAGAGCUUAAGCCCCUCACUUCUUUACCACUAUACUAAACCAUCACUUGUGAUUAUAUUCUGUUUCGAUUCUUAAUAUAUCAUACUAAAUCACAAGUAAAAUGAUUAUUUGAGCCUCUAAACGAUUUCAAAUUAAAAAGUUGUCAACUACAAAGUUUUAUAACUUUUUGAGAUCUAUAAUUUUCAUUUAAGGAGUUUCUCCAUCCGAGGCCGUUUAUAAAAUUUAAAUUUCAAAUUUAAGAAAUUUAAACGUAGUUUUUCCAUGACAACAAGGUUUCAAAUCAAAAAGUUAUCAACUACAAAGUUUCAUAACUUUUCAAGACCUACAAAGUUUAUUCAGUCAAUUUUUUCAUCCGAGGUAAUUUUAAAAAAUCUAAUUUAAAAAUUUUCAAAUAAAGACGCAGUUUUGAAUGACAAGAUAACUCAAAUGAAAAAAUUGUCAACCAUAAAAUUUUAUAACUUGUCAAAAUCUAUAAAAAUUAUUUUGGUUGUUUGAUCAUUUGCUCAUCUGACACGGUAAUUCUAAUAUUUUUCACAAAUCUUAUAUAUCUCUCUUGUAGUUCUAGGAUCUAUAAGAGAGAUGUAAAGUUUGUGAACAAAUUUAUUUUUACUUCGCCAAAUGAAGAAAUGGCCAAAAUAAAGAUUGUAGAUCUUGAGAAGUUAUACAACUUUGUAGUUCAAAACUUUUUGAUUUGAAUUUGUUUAGGGCUUCAAAUUUUGAUUUAAAUUUUUCUUUGCCGAGUGUUUUUUUGACACGCGGUAAAGAACCCUCUUUACCGAGUGUUUUUAUUUGCGGAGUGUUUUAUUUUUAGCACUCGGCAAAUAAGCUCUUUGCCGAGUGCUCGAAAAAAACACUCGGCAAACCACUUGACACUCGGCAAAGAAGCGGAUUCCGGUAGUGUGUAGGGUUUCAAAGUGAGUUCGAUCCCCCCUUUAUAGGUUUCUUUGUCCAUCCUUAUAUCUCUAGAGGGAAAGAGGUGUUGUGCAAGAUUGUUUGAGUUUUCUCUAGCUUCCUUGAUUGACAAAGAUUUCUCAGGCUUAGUCAUCUUCAUCUUUGAGGUAGCUGUUGAAGGCAUCACUGCUCCAUAUGGUCGUGGCCAACAACAUAUAGAAACAGCCCAUGGCAGCUUUUACAAAUGGAAGUAGUAGCUCCAUGCUGAUCGGGAGCUAGGUUCUGCCUCACUUGCCCCCUCUAGCAUUUCUUUCACGCCAAGGGAGACAAAGCCAUGGGGGUUGACGGCUUGACGCUAGGGUCCAGUUCCUUCCGUGUGUCCUUUCUAAUCCUAAUUGCGAUGGCUAGCCAAUAUAAAUGAAAAAUUAAACUAAUUAGCCUAACCAAGAUUACAUCCCUCUAUCUAUGUCACAAGCAUCAUAUAAAAAAUAUCCUAAAACAAGUUGUGUCUAGCCAUGGCAUAUUUCAGUGGCUAAUUUCUUGUGUAGGGACCAUGAUGUCUAAGAUGGGGGCUGAAAAGUCACUUUGACCGGACCCUUGGUAGUCUUAGAUACAAAAGUCAUGAAUACAAAGUUUGUCCAACUCAUCAAGAUACACAUUGUGUGUAAUGGUCAACUUUUCAUCUCAGAGAGUUUGGACUAGUCAAAAUUUGAAAUUUUAGAUUUCCACAGCUACACACAUAUUUUCGAAACCCGAGACGUCCCCAACUCAAAAAGUCAUGAAUACAAAGUUUGUUCCACUCAUCAAGAUAUACAUUUCAUACAUAGGACAUUUUUUCAUUUGACAAAUCAUUACAAAAGUGUAGUUCUAAAUCCACAAGCCUCACAUAUAGUUUCAUAAAGUUUGUAUGAGAUUCAAGACUUUGUGACUAGAAUUUACCAAUCCUUUCCCAAAUGCCAAAAUAGCCUAUGUAUGGAAUGUGUAUCUUGAGGAGCUCUAACACCCAUGUAUUCAAAAGUUUGUCAUUUGAGGUCAUUUAGUGCCUAGUUUGACCUAGUUUGACCAAGUCAAAUCUUGGAUUUUUCUGAAAAGUCACUUUAACUGGACCCUUGGUAGUCUCAGAUACAAAAGUCAUGAAUACAAAGUUUGUCCAGCUCAUCAAGAUACACAUUGUGUGUAAUGGUCAACUUUUCAUCUGAGAGAGUUUGGACCACUUAAAUUUCGAAAUUUCAAAUUUCCACAGCUACACACACGUUCUAAAUCCACAGAUCUCACAUAUAGUUUCAUAAAGUUUGUGUGAGAUUCACAUACAUUUCAUACAUAGGACAUUUGACCAGAGUUUACAUGAUGAAUCACAGAUACAAUCUAGGCCGCUACUAUUCUUCCUUGUCCAUCAGGGCGCACCCAUGGCAAAGAACUCUGUGGGAUGCUUCGCUCAAUAUUUUUUAUCUUCACAGGAUGAUCCACAAAGAGGGACAUAUCACUGAACUGGUUAAAAUCCUCCAGAUCCGAUACACCAUCAACUCCAACUGCUUGUUGCUUUCCUAGAAAAACUACAUGCUUCGGUUUGUCGGUACUUUUCUUCUCAUUCUUAGAAAGGAUCUGUUCAGCAUAGAAAACCUGUGCAGCACGAUUAGCAAGGAUCCACGGGUCAUCUUUAUAUCCCACCUUACUUAGAUCAAGAACUCUGACCCCAUAAUUAUCCACUAUGAUAUGCUUAUCUUCAACCCAUUGACAUCGAAACACAGGGAUCUAAAAUGUACCAUAAUCUAGUUCCCAUAUGUCCUUGAUGAAGCCAAAGUAUGUAAUAAUAUCACUAGUUUUGUCGUCUAUGGCCUCGCAUCGAACACCACUAUUUUGUGUCAUGCUCUUUUGGUCCUUGGACUUGAUAUGAAAUGUGAAUCCACUUAUGUCAUAGGUUUGCCAUGUUAUGACUUGGCGUGAUGGUCCAGAUGCCAAAGCCUUGAUGGUUUGUUUCUCAAUUGUUUCCCCAUAUGGAAUGUCCUACUCCCUUAGCCAUGUGUACAACUAUUUCUUGUGUUCCUUCAUUACCCAAUCCCCUGUUUGCCUAGGAUUAUGUUCUCGAAGCUCAUUCAUGUGUUGUUCAAUCAAAUGCUCCAUUAUCGAGAGCUGAUGUAAGAUGCUAUGAUGUGCCUCAAGUACUGUAUUGUAAUCUGGUGGGAUAAAUGAUUUCCGUCCAAUCCUCCCACAUCCAUGUAGCCUACCCUCAUGUCUUGACGGAGGCAAACCUAUUGCAACCUGGUCUUUUAGGACAUUAUUGCAGAAUGGUCCUCCGGACUCAAUCGUCUCUUCGGUACAAUACCCCUCUAUCAUGGACGCCUCGGGACGAGCACGAGUUGAUACAUAGCCAUUUAGUAUUGACAUAAAAUGCUCGUACGUCCACAUUUUAUGCAGGUACAUGGGACCUAGUGCCUGUAUUUGUGGAACCAAGUGCACCACAAGGUGCACCAUGAUAUCAAAGAAUGAUGGGGGGAAACACAUCUCAAACUGUGACACUGUUUCCACUACCCAUUUCCAUCUCCAGAACCAUCCAAAAAUAUUCUACUCCUAAUCCGGGAGAGAAUAGCCAAAAACAUUCUCCUAUUUUUGUUUUUCCCUGUGAAAUAAAUGCUCAAGAUAUUUCGGUUACUACCACUUGCUACAUUAUUUAAAGAGGUGAGUACUCUAAAAAAAGAGAAGAUACGAGGAAAUAAAAAGGGGCAAGUGCCCGGAACGUCGAAAGAAAAGAAAAAGUGAGACGAGAGGUAAAAAUGGACAAGUGUCCGACAGUAGAAUUAGGGGUACAAGAUACCCACCUGAGAGGAAAGAAAAAGAAAAUAUAGAGCGUCUCAUUCUCCUCAAAAGUUUCAAAGAGCAAGAAAAGUAUAUAUCCCCUCAAAAGAGCACAAGUAGAAUUAGACUUUCACCAUUGUUAUCACCAUCAUCACCAUACACCAUUCAUUCGCCACACAUGCACAUCUUGAUUUGACUUAUUGACUUGUUUCUCUGGAUCCAUGGUUUGACUAUGCAAUAAAUGUCUUGUAAGUAUGUAUUAGCUGUCUCCCACCUAUGAGCUCCAGAUAUCAAAACCUUAUUCGAGUAGGGUGAGAGAAGGCAAUGCCACUAUGCCUCAUACCAAAAAUACCACAUACUUUGAGAGAAGGCAUACACUAUUACUGCCUUGGUAAGGAUCUAGAAAUACCACAAAAGAGAGACUAGAGAGAGUCAUACAAGGAAUCUCUGAGUUUUCUUUGAAAAUCUGCAAAAACUCCAGAGCUAUAGUUAAUCAAAGAACAAGAGACAUGGCGCUUGACUAGACCGUUCUAUCUUUUAACUGCUCAAGACACAAGUGACGGUUGCAAGCCCCACGGUGGAAGGUAAAAUGAGUAAGUUUAAAUCUUAAAAGUUUACCCUAAUCUAGAGAUGAGAUCUUGUUUGAACGCAUGUGUACCUUUAAGGCAUGAAACCACUGCAGAAACUCUUGAGUUCAUCUUUGCUCAGGGAUGAGCAAAGGUUAAGCUUGGGGGAGUUUGUUGACGGUCCUUAAUGCUCACAUUUAAUCAUCAUCUAAUCAUGGAAAAGGAUCCAAAUGCAACCAACACCCAGACUUGGGGUUUUAUCUGACAGAAUUCCAUGAGUUUUGGUGUUUGUCUAUUUCUGCAGGGGGUUAUCAGGAAAUACGGAGGAAAGGCCCACACGUCGGGUUUACAUAGAGAUAUUAACGUGCUGCGCAAUUUUCUAUCAUCUAGAAGACUCUAGAAGCCACGGGAACGAAGCAGAGGCCGAACGGAGCCUGGCCCAGGGCGCCCGCCCUGAGGACUAGGACGCCCGCCCACCUACAGAGUCCAAACAGGACCCAUUUCGCGGAUCACGCUCCACCGACCUAAAGGAUCAAGGAUAACCGUUCAAUCAAUGUCGGUUUGAUCCGACGACCUAGAUUCAUCUGAAAAGACUAUAUAAGCAAGGCCCCCUGGCCCUUGGAGAUCAUACCUCUUCUACAAAAUCAAAGCUAGGGUUUCAAUUCUUCAUCCAAGUAGAGAGGAUCCCUCUAGUUCAUCUAGUUCUAGUUCUAGUUAGUUCUAGUUGUAAUCUAGAAAAUAGGGAGAGAGAAGAGGAGAGCGGAGGAGGAGCCGGAUCUGUCGGAUCUUCCUCAACAUUAUUCUUUUGCAGCAACUGGUUCGUUCUUCAUCAUUCUCCAAGUUCUUCAAUUCAUAAUUCUGUGUACUUUAAUUACUUUUAUUUACAUUCAAGUUAUUUAUUGGAUUCCCGCUUGCAUCAAGUGCUUUAGUCUUUAUAACGCUAGAGUAGUAAUUAAUAGAUUAGACGUGGUGUUUAGUCUUGCAAUUACCUGGAAUUGUACCCAAUCCUGUGGAUUGUUGUGGUAGCCCUAGGGUAGUGACAGCCCUAACGGUCGACGUAUUCCACCUCGUUCGGAUCGGUGUUUUUAGGACCGUAGUCAGAGCUUCCUAGCCCCCUUCUCAUCUCUUUCUGUGGUUAGUGUCCCGAAAUAAAUAAUCUUUGAAGUAAUUCUUGAUUCUUAGAUCAACUAGAGAACUCUCAGGAAACUUCCUCUCUUCCCACCAAAAAUAAUUAUAUAGUUAUCCUUGGGCGACUUUGAAUCUUAAUUAGUACACUCACGUUUCCUAUGGAAAAUCGAUACUCUGGAAUACUCUCGGGUGAAAGCUACAUCGGUAUCCGUGCGCUUGCGGAUUUUUCUGUUUGCGUUUAAAAUACCCAACAGAGGUGGGACCACAAAGGUGGAAGGACUAAACAUGUUGAAUCGAUUGGGUUGGUUAUUCUAGAGUUGUAAAUCAUACAUGUUUGUCUAUUUUAUUCAUGUGAACGCCAGAACCAAGGAGAAGCUUAUAAAAGUGAUAGUCAAGUACCUUAAGAUGUUACCUUACUUGAAGAGUGAUGGUACAGUAUCACCUUGUGGAAGCUUUCCUUUCUUAGCGGUUGUGCAUCGUGUUUGUGGCACCCUCCAUGGAUCGUCUCUUAUGAGCUAUGUCUUCCUUGUGUAAAUUGUUAAACUUCAUGUGUCUCUCUCUUUGUCUCCAAUUUGAGUUUAUCUCAUGACUUCCCAGGUCGAUAUUGAAAGUUUUCCUGUAGGGGUUAGUCCAACAAAAUAUCCAAUAUCUACUAUAGCAUACUAUCAGCUCAAAAAUCAACUUAGACACCAUAUCUAAUUUGAUUUAGGAGGGCAUUUUAACCUAAGCACCAUGCUUAAUUUAAAAUCCCUUGGAAGUAAGAUCAUCAUUCCUAAACUAAGCACCAUGCUUAUUUAAGAGAUAAAUGAAACUACUCCAAACCUAGACAUAUACUAAAGCAAAUAAAGGUAGCAUGAGAGCAUUUAUAGAGAUCUACUCAAGUGGAGAUGAAGUAGUGUGAUUAGUAUUUAACAAAUUGAGCAUGUCUCAAAGGUAGGGACAACCAACAUAGCGACAUGGCAAAGGAUGUUUUUAUGUAAAGUACUCCUCGAAGCUUGAAUUUUGCAAAAUUCAAGUUUGGAUGAAUUUAAUUCAAUGUUGUAUGAUGAUUGGUUGGACAUACAUUGUGCUUGUCAUUCAUCCAAUCUUCUUGCUCCAGUCCUAGAAAGGUUAGUGACAAGAAUACUCGAAGGAAUAUUUUUACAAUUAUCCUUAUAUGCUCAAUACACAAGGUAAUGUUGCAAAUAAUUAAAAGCUCAUGUUACGAUUUGAUCGGUGCUUAUUUUAGGACACUAAGCUUGUGCUUGGGAAACUAUCCAUUUAUGUUGGCGAAGUGGUUUCCCAUCCAAUGCUGACCUAUAUCAAGAUCAACUCAACGAGAUCUGCAAUAUUUUAUUAUAGAAUAUAGACAUAUGCAUUGACAACCGCCCUUUUAAAGUUUUUAUAAAUAGAAAGGAAGAGGGGGUUGGAGAUCUCAAAUGUGGUGAUGUUGGAGAGACCAAUAAAUUGGGAAGAUGUUGCAUAUGAGCAUGGAGUAAACGAAGUGGCUAUGAAAUAAAUUCCAUGCUCAUUAAUGUUAUCUUCGUCUCCAAACUGAAUGUUUGGAGUUUCUCCUGGAUUGGUCUCGCCUAUGUCCUCUUCUGUAGUUGGAUGAAUCUCAUCUUCAAAGGGAGUCAAGAACUCACCAUUUGAAAUUGAGCCAAAGUCAAAAUCCAUUAAGGCUUCUUCCUUGUCCAUCCAUUCUACACAUUCUAGCCAUUUAGAACUUGUGAUCAGGAUAGGGGAGGUGUUAGAAUUUUCUAUAUGGCUUAGCUCUCCUUCUAUGACAUUACUUGACAUGUCAUCCUCGUGGUCUUUAUGACUCCUAUGGUUUGAUCGUCUUGAUGGAUUGCUAGGAUCAUCAUGAGACUGAAAAGGAGAGGGAUAAGAGGGGUCUCUAUGGUCAAGGAUGGAUUUAGAAUUUGUGAACAUGGAAGGGGAGCAGAUAGAAUCAUCUAUAUGGUUUAGCUCUCCUUCAGUUGAUAUGUCAUCCUCGACUUCUUCAUAAUAGGAACCAGGACAUUCUCUAAGAGAACCAUUAUUGCAAAGAUUUGAAUUAUCCCUGCUUGAAGGUCUCUUAUGGAACUAGAAGUCUAAACCAUCAACAUCUGAAAGAUUUAAGGUCAGAAUUCCUUUCUCCCUUGGAGAAUUUUGGGGUAUUGAUGGUUUAGGAUCGAUAGCUAAAGUUUGGGAUUGAAGUGGUUGUAAUUUGACUAUCGAAACUUCCUCUUCUUGUCUAGGAACUGAUUCUUUCUCUUUCUCAGGGAUAUAGAUGCUAGGAGACUUUCCGCUCAUUAAAUCAAUCAAAUUCCAAGCUUCACUAGCGGACAGGUGGUGGAAGGAUCCUCCAGAGGCCGCAUUAAGGGUUUGCUUAUUUGCCCUACUAAGGCCCUUAAAAAAGUAAAUUAGAAGGACUUCUUCUGGAAUAGAAAGAUUUGGCCCAGUGAGAGUAAGGUCAAUAAAGCGGUCCCAUGAUUCGCCAAGAGAUUCUUCUUCUAGUUGUCUAAAAGAAAGAAUCUCGAUCUGAAGAUCCAUCACUUUGGAGAUUGGAAAAUAUUUUAGACAAAAAUUAUUGGAUAGCACCUUCCAAUCUCUGUGAGCACUUCCUAUGUUGAGUUUAUACCAAUGUCUAGCUUUUCCCGUUAAAGAGAACGGAAAGAGCUUCCAUUUAAGGGUCUCAUCGGACAUGCCUUCUAUGCGAAGGAGGUCAUAGAUUCGUCCAAACUCUUUGAGGUGUGUGUAUGGGUUUUCCUCACCUUUUUCUGAGAAAGGUUGUUUUUAAAGAAAUUCUAUGUAUUCCGGGCUUAUCUCAAAACUAGAUGUCAUGAUAGGCUUUGAAGAUUUUGGUGGUUCGAGAUGUGUGCCCGUAGGUCUAUGAAACUGAUAGAUAGACAUGUUUGCAUUCAUGAUAGACCAGUGAUCAAGGAUUAGAUAAGAAGAAAGAAUAGCAGAGAAUAUUUUCUUUUUUUUUUCUUUUAGAAAAAUGAUUAAGCUAGUUCGUAGUUAUAACACUCCAAAUUUUUGAAUUUCAAAUUUAGUUUAAAUUUGAUUUAAUUUUGGGCUUAGUUUGAAUUUUUGAGAAUUAUUAAAUAAUUUACAAAAAGAAAUAAAAAUUAAAUAUAAGGUAGAAAACAUGUUUGUGUGCAUUCAUGCUGCUGCACUUAUUUUUGUUUGAUUUGUUUGCUUGUGCUUGAAUUAUUUUUUGUUGGAAGAAAGAAAUAAAUAGGAGAAAUCUGUUAAAAAAAAAGAAAAAGAAAAGGGGCAAGCGCCCUGGACCGGCCUCCCCCUCUCCCCGCACGGCCCAGCAGCGGCUCAGCCGCAGAGCAGCUGCGCGCAGCCCACCCGCAGCGCCCCCUGCCCCUGCUCUCUCGCCCGCGCCAGCUGACCGGUGGGCCCCGCAGGUGGGACCCACCUGUCAUCCCCGAGCUCCGGCCGUUUCGGAAACGGCCGCGCCGCCACCCCGGCUUCUGAGCCGCACGCGCACCCCGAGGUUCACCCUAGCCUAUUUAAGGCAUCCCUCGGCCGCCCGCAACCCCCCUAGAACCCUAGCUUCGCUCCCGAGCCGCCGCGCGUUCGUUUCGCCGAAACCCGCGCCACCGCCGUCAACCUCGCCGCCGCCGCCGUCGCACUCCUCUCCGCGCUGCCGGUUUCGCGAAGGUGAGCCGCGCCCCGUCCUCGCCGCGUCGUGCCGACCCCGGUGGUGCCCUCGGCGUGCUCCGUCUCGCCCCGUAGGGCCAUGCCCGCAACCUCGCCGGCGGCGGCCAUGGCGCCGCCGUCCCUGCCCGCCGCGCCACCGCGGUCCUGCUCGCCUCGCCCCGCGCGCGGUCCGCCAUGGACCGCGGCUCGGCGCCCUCGGCCGGUCCACCAUGGACCCGGCCCCCGCCGCUCUCUGCCCUGGCCCCGGUCCACCACGGACCGGUGGACCCCCGCCGCGCCCCGGUCCACCGCCCGCGCCGUGGACCCGGCCACUCCCGCGCCGCCACGUGGCCAGGCUGGCCACGGCCCCCGCGUGUCCCUGCGCAUUUUGCAAAGAGGCCCUGCCUUUCUUUGAAAUCAACCCGCGCUCCAUUUAGUUAUGUUUUUGUUUAAAAUAUGCCCCUGGUUUUUGCAGAAAAGCCCUAUUAGCUGUUGGUUUUUAUAGAUUUAAUCCAAAAUGCUUUUUAAUUCAGUUUUAAUUAGUUUUAAUUACGAAAAAUAGUUCAGUUUAUCUACAGAAUUGCCAUCCAACUUGUUUUGGCCAUAACUUUUGCAUCGUAACUCCGAUUUAGGUGAUUCUGGUCGCUAUAGUUUCGUUUCGUCGAGUAGAAUACAAUAGUACAGUUGCUUUCUGUUUUCGCAUGCUUUGGUGUACUGUUUCUGAUUAAGCUUGUUUGCUUGCAUGUAUUGUUCCUAUGAUUGAUGAUUGUCACAUAUAGCCAACGAGACGUUCGUGAAGGAAGAGGUUCAGGAUCCCGCUGAGUUCGAGCAACCCGACAUCGAUCAAGGCAAGUGCAGACAUCGUUUGAUCAUUUUGAACCUACUCAUUAAUGUCAUUUACUUUACAUGCAUGUGUCCAAUGAAUGCAAACCCUAAGGACAUGACUAGCUUUACUUACUAUUCCUUGUUCACCUGGGGUUAUGUAUAUGGGUAGUCUAGCAUAUACUAGGUUUGCUUAGCUGCUCUACUCUCCUUAUUCACAUGCCUAAACAAGUAAUAAUCUCUACUCAACUUGAUGCUUAAAUUGUGCUGAACCUUUGGUCACUGCGGUGAUGGCGAUGAUGGAUGCUUACGAGCAUCAUGAUGAUGGUGGUGACUGGGGGAGCGGGUACCGUUGGUGGUCUGGUUUGCCGGGCGUACCCGUCUCUGCUCUCCGUAAGGACUUAGUCAGGGAGCGGCCCCCUGGGACUUACAGUGCAGCUCCAAGCUAUAUGGCUCUGGCUUGACUAAUUAGCAGGACCUCCACUAGUAGGGUGUUACUUUCCGGGUAGGCGUGAGGAAGUAACUUGGGUAAUGAAUAUUAAGUUGUCGGUUGAUCGGUACGCCAUGGCUAUGGGUAUCGACUGCCGAGUGCCCCGGCACAAACUUGCGAGUGGCAUCCUAUUAGUUGGACCCUGUGAAAGGUCUCGUAGUGAGACCCUGCCUGCUCACCUUGGAAGUGUUUUGGGGAGUCGCGACCCCGGGCAAAUGGGAAUCACGACUUGGAGUGAACGUGCACACCUCUGCAGAGUGUAAAACUGAUAUAUCAGCCGUGCUCACGGUCACGAGCGGCCAGACCCUCACUUGAUGAGCAAUUUGGAUUCACUGGAUACUUGGAGAUGGACCUUGGCGAGGUUGCUACCUCGUGUUUGGCGGAAUGGUUAUUCCGUGUUGGCAGGAUUGCUAUCCUGUGUUAAUAAUUGGGGUUAAUCCCUGGAUUACUGUAAUAGUUAGGAUAAUACUUUAAAAGAUGCUAAUUACUACUUACACUAAUUAAGGGUUGGGUUUAUGCUACUCAUGAUUAGUAAUAGGUUGUUCUUAUAAUAGUCAUAAUUAAAAGUGACCAACUAAAAUGCUACCACAGUCAAACCAAGUCAGCUUUACCUUGUUUUAAGCCUUGCAUGUCAUUACUUUCCGUCUGUUCUUGCUGAGUUCGACAUGAGCUCACCCUUGCUAUAAUCAUUAAAGGUUGCUCGGACGAUCAGGAGUACAAUUACAAUUUCCCUGAGGACUACCCUGAGUCUCCUGGCUGUUAGGCUCGUGUGGUUCUGCCGUCGACCUUCCUGUGGCAAGGUGGUCCUGCUACGUCGGCGUCUAGUUUCCCUUUUAUUUAUGGAACAGUUUAGCUUAUGUUUUCCCCUUCGCACUUUGAUAAACUUUUGGCUUGUAAUAAUGGUACAUUUACUCUCGUUUAUGUAAUUCGUUUGAACACUGUGUUUUGUACCAUUGAUGAUGUCGGUCCAUGUGUGUGAAUUUGAGAUCCUGGCGCACAUGUGAUUUGGCACCCGAAUGCUCUUUUACAUCCGGGUGUGACAGAAGUGGUACCAAAGCCGUGUUGACCGUAGGAUCACGCAGCCUAGUUAGAAACAGCCCUUUAGAUUGUCCCUUUUGGGUGGAAUAGACCAUUGGAUCUACUAACUACCUUACUAACCUGUCUCAUUAGACUUUACCUAUUAGCCUUAUCUACUUACUUUUACUAACAGUUCAGUUUAUUCACUUACUUCCUGCAUUUAUUACCUUGUUAUCAUUUAUUACUUCCUGCUUCUCAUAAUGCAAUUAUAUUCUUGUUUCAACUUUUACUACUCAUUAUUUGAACCUUUCUUUUAUAUCUUGUCCUUUACUAUCAUUCUACUCAUAUUACCCUCUUGUUCCUUGUUUUUCAUUUAUUACUUGAGUUAUGUUUUAUUUCUGCCUUGACAAUAAAUUUCAUUACCUUGUUUUUACCUUACACCUUCAUUACUUGCUUAUAUAUCUUACCAUAAAUACCACCAAAGUUCAUAUUGUCCAUCCACUGUAUAAUCUUGGUUCAUCUUCAUUACACAUACACUAUUACCUUCAUUUAUGUUAUUCAUUUAUCUAUCAUUGUCAUGAUCUAUUAACCGUUUCCUGCAUGUCUAUGAUUUAUGCAUAAGUAGAUGACUCGCCAUUUGACCUGCCGCAAGAGUGUCAUUCGUUUCCGCCCCGUUCAAGCUGUGGAGUUCUCGUUGACUGGUCGCGUGGAUAACAUCGUGUUCCAGCCUAACCAGCAUCUUGAUGAUGGUGCUAACCUCCAAGACGCUGAACCCUAUGAAGGACAACAACCACCUCAAGCUCUGGUGGUGCAUGGAAGGGCGCCUUGCUGGGCAGCUGGAGGAGAUGAUCCCUUCGGUGAUGAUGAUGACAUGGAUGAUGAUGAUGAGGAUGCACCUGGAGGACCUGGAGGACCUGGAGGACCCGGAGGACCUGGUGGACCUGGAGGACCUGGAGGUCAAGAUGGACUUUUUGCUGCGGAUGAUGGGUGGAUUGUGACAGUCUGCACAAGGGAUGGUGGAGAGUGUUUCUUCCACAGUGAGCUGAAGCGUCUCCUUGACCAGCAGCUGGGACAUGGCAUGUUCUCAGCGGAAUACCGCAGUGAGCACUGGAGUCACCCAGACUACCCGGCAUACUGGAAGGUCUGGGCACACGUCGGCAGGCCUAACCCGACGCUGAGGGCACUGAGGAUCAUGUCCAUACAUGAAGCUAUGGCAGAGAGGUCUACCCAGAUGGCGGGCAUUAAUGAUGCUGCUCGUUAGGCUUUCUACGCAUACCGUGAUCACUUCUUCGAGGAGAUCAGCCAGGAGGAACGUCGCUACUACCCUCGCCGUCGCCGUGGAGAGUUGGCGAUGACUAUUGCUUCCGCCACUGAUGAGUAGGACCCCCGCAUGCACAGGACUGUCAAGCUGGUGGCGGUCACUAACACCGAGCUCAACAGUUCACUAGUGGAGCUGAAGCAAGUCAGGAAGGAGCUGGAUGACGCUAGGAAGAGGAUAGCGCAGCUGGAAGCUCAGAUCACUGGAGUUCCACCGCCUUCACCUAAGUGGCCUGCUUUCGCUCCGUCUCGUGAAGAUCCAGCCUAUGGAGAUGCCAGCGCUCGUACUACUAUAGAAUAGGAGCUAUUCCCAGUUUAGUAAUAAAUAGUGCCACGCUUAGAACGUUAGCACGAUCUUAGUUAUGCGAGUCUAGUGUUUAGUGGUUUUGCUUAGUGUGCUUUGCUUGGUCUGUGUGAGAACUUGAUUUAUUAUUGUGUUAAUGGUGUGAUUUGGUUCUUUGUAAUGAGUGCGAUGAGUUGUGGGUUAUGUCCACAACGCAUCAAGAACAAGAUUAAGUAUUAAGUUUAUAUGAGAUAGUUAGUUUGGGUUAUCAUCGGUCUCCUUUAUUUGUGCUUUAUCAUAUUUCAUAUCGCUUUAUCUUAUCAGUCUUACUUUAUCAUGAUCAGUUCAUUAUCUAUAUAUUCCAUCUGUUAUGAGUACUGUGUUUAUCAACUGAAAAAGGGAAGUUACUACCAGCUGGUUCACACUUUGAAGAAAGAGUAUAACUUUGCAGUUUACAUUACAGCUCAGGUUUACACGUAUGAACUACAUCUGAUUUUAUUAUAUUAUUUCUAUACAUCAGAUGCCUGUCAACACCAGGAGCAACACCAAUGGAGGAAACAAUGGGCAGUCCAACAACAACAACAACAAGAACAAUGAUCACAGCGGGACUAAUGCCAACCCUCCUCCUCUAAAUCAACCCAUGACCAUAGAACAGUUGAUGACUAUGCAGACUCUACUGAUGCAAGGGAUGACCCAUAUUAUGAACCACAUGCAGCAGAACCAAAAUCAGAAUCAGAACCAACAUCAAGGAGGUAACAAUGCGUUUGCCCCACCUAGGGACAAGCGUGGAGAGUUCAUGAAGGGACGUCCACCGUUCUUCUCUCACUCAGGUGACCCUAUGCAAGCUGAGGAUUGGCUUAAAGCUGUGGAGAAGCAGCUGGUCAUUGCUCAGUGCAAUGACAGGGAAAAGGUUCUGUAUGGCUCUGGGCAGCUUCAGGGAGCCGCACAGGAUUGGUGGGAUUCGUACUGCUUUGCGCAUCAGGACCCAGAUACUAUCACUUGGGAUGAGUUCAAGGUCGCCUUCAAGACUCAUCAUGUGCCUGCUGGAUUGGUGAAGCUGAAGAAGAAGGAGUUUCUGUCUGUGAAGCAGGGCUCCAUGACAGUUUGUGAGUACCGUGACAAGUUCACUCAGUUGUCGCGGUAUUGCCCGAAUGAGGUGGAGAACGAUGAAGACAAGCAAGAUCACUUCCUGGAAGGUUUGAAUGAUGGUUUGUCCUACAUGAUGUCAAAUGUCAAGUAUGCCAGUUUCCAGGAGAUGGUGGACAGGGCAUUGGUGCUUGAGAGCAAGCGCCGCAAGAUGGAAGACAAGAAGAGGAAGUAUAACUCCUCUCAGCAGCAGGCUAGUGCCAGCCGUCCCCGCUACAACAAUCAGCAGGGCCCUCAGUCUCGCCCUGCAUAUCAGUCAGGCAACCAAGGACAGCAGCAGAAUGUCAGGUACAGCAAUUAGAGUCAGCAGACGAGCCAGCGCUACAAUCACAACCAAGUGCAGCGCCCCGCUAGUCAGGCGCCUCGUCAGAAUGCCCCAGCACCAUCAGGCUCUCGCCAAAACUCAAACACUGUCCCAGCAAAGCCCAAUGCCAACCCCACCCCCACUGGAAAUACCUGCUUCAAGUGUGGUCAGCUUGGACACUACGCGAAUGCUUGCCCCUAGAGGCAGAAGAACAACAAUGGAAGGGUGAAUCAUGUGAAGCUGGAAACUGCUGAGGAGGCUCCAGAUGUGGUAGUUGGUACGUUCCUUGUCAACUCUUGCCCAGCUACUGUUUUGUUUGAUACUGGAGCAUCACAUACUUUUAUAAGUGCACAGUUUGUUGAGAAACAUAGUAUAGCCACCUGUACCAUGCAAAACACCAUGAUAGUUAAAUCACCUGGGGGAAAGAUGCAUACUAAUACUUUGUGUCCGGGAAUGAGCAUUAAAAUAAGGGGGGUAGAUUUUCCUGUCAAUCCUAUUGUGUUGGGUUCAGAAGGUCUAGAUAUGAUAUUGGGAAUGAGAUGGUUGUCCAAGUUUAAGGGUACUAUUCAGUGUGCUGAGAAGUCAGUUGCUCUAACAGCACCUAGUGGGAACAGAAUUGAGGUCAGAGUUUCUAUGUCGCCUAGCAGUGAAGGAACAGUUUACCAUGUGAGCAGUGGGUCAGUAGAGGAUAUUCGAGUUGUGAAAGAAUUCCCUGAUGUGUUCCUAGAGGAUUUGCCAGGUAUGCCACCUGAACGUGAGAUUGAAUUUGUUAUUGAUUUAUUACCUGGUACUGCACCCAUAUCUAAGAGACCUUAUAGAAUGGCUGUUAAUGAGUUAGAAGAACUUAAGAAACAACUAAGGGAGUUACAGUCUAAGGGGUAUAUCCGUCCUAGUUCCUCACCUUGGGGAGCUCCAGUUAUCUUUGUAGAGAAGAAGGAUGGGACACAGAGGAUGUGUGUAGACUAUAGAUCUUUGAAUGAGGUCACAAUUAAGAAUAAAUACCCUUUGCCUAGAAUAGAGGACUUGUUUGACCAGUUGAAGGGAGCUUGUGUGUUUUCCAAGAUAGAUCUGAGGUCAGGUUAUCACUAGUUGAGGAUUAAACCUAGUGAUAUUCCAAAGACUGCUUUCACCACCAGAUAUGGACUUUAUGAGUAUAUAGUUAUGUCUUUUGGGUUAACUAAUGCUCCAGCUUACUUUAUGUAUCUGAUGAAUAAAGUUUUUAUGGAGUAUUUGGAUAAGUUUAUGGUAGUCUUUAUUGAUGAUAUCUUGAUCUACUCCAAGACUGAGGAAGAACAUGAGGAACACCUGAGACUUGUGUUGCAGAAAUUGAGGGAACAUCAGCUCUAUGCCAAGUUGAGUAAGUGUGACUUCUGGUUGAAGGAAGUGUCUUUUCUUGGUCAUGUCAUUUCAAAUGGUGGAGUUGCUGUCAGUCCGAAGAAUGUGGCAGAUGUUCUUAAGUGGAGUCCACCUCAGACUGUUGGAGAAAUCAGAAGUUUUCUUGGAAUGGCUGGUUACUAUCGGAGAUUCAUUGAAGGGUUUUCCAGUAUUGCCAAGCCCAUGACUGCUUUGUUAGAGAAGGGUAAGCCAUUCAAGUGGAAUGAACAGUGUCAGGCUAGCUUUGAGGAGUUGAAGAAGAGGUUGACUACUGCACCAAUUCUGACUUUGCCUGAUGUGACUAAGAGUUUUUCUAUCUAUUGUGAUGCUUCCAAGCAAGUUUUGGGAUGUGUGCUGAUGCAAGAGGGAAAGGUGAUUGCCUAUGCAUCCAGACAGUUGAAGAAACAUGAGGUGAACUAUCCAACUCAUGAUCUUGAGUUAGCAGCAGUGGUCCAUUCACUGAAGAUCUGGAGACAUUAUAUUCUGGGUCAUAAGUGUGAUAUCUACACGGAUCACAAGAGUCUGAAAUACAUCUUCACUCAGAAUGACUUGAACCUGAGACAGAGAAGAUGGUUAGAAUUGAUCAAGGAUUAUGAACUGGACAUUCAUUACCACCCUGGCAAGGCUAAUGUAGUUGCUGAUGCUCUAAGUAGAAAGAGUCAAGUGAAUAUGUUGGAAGCCACGGAGCUACCGAUGGAACUACUGGCAGAAUUUGAGUAUCUCAAUCUGGGGUUUGUUGCUAACACCCAAGGUACUUCCAUGGACAUAGAACCAACUCUUGAGCAAGAGAUCAGAAAAGGUCAGAAAGAGGAUGAAGAGAUCAAAAAGAUACUUAAGCUACUAGAGGAAGGUAGAGCACCUGGAUUCAAAGUUGAUCAAGAAGGGAUUUUUUGGCACAAGGACCGAUUGUGUGUGCCUGAUAUUCAGAGAAUCAAGGAUGUGAUACUGAAGGAGUGCCAUGAAUCUACUUACUCUAUUCAUCCAGGAGGUACUAAGAUGUACCAAGACUUGAAACAAAACUUUUGGUGGCCUGGUAUGAAGAAAGAUAUUGGUGAAUAUGUGGCAUUGUGUGACACCUGUCAGAGAGUGAAAGCGGAACAUCAGAGGCCAGCAGGGUUGUUGCAACCGUUGAAGAUACCUGAGUGGAAGUGGGAUGAGAUCAGCAUGGACUUCAUAGUGGGAUUGCCGAAGUCUCGACGAGGUUAUGACUCAAUAUGGGUUGUAGUAGAUCGAUUGACCAAGGUAGCUCAUUUCAUACUAGUCAAGACUACCUACCGUGGGGAUCAGUUAGCAGAGAAGUAUAUGGAACGGAUUGUGUGUCUGCAUGGGGUCCCUAAGAGGAUAGUGUCUGAUAGAGGUACACAGUUUACAUCAAAAUUUUGGGAGAAGUUACAUGAUGCUUUGGGAACCGAGCUCAGAUUCAGUACUGCUUAUCACCCUCAGUCCGAUGGUCAGACAGAGAGAGUCAACCAAAUAGUGGAGGAUAUGCUCAGGUCUUGUGCUUUACAGUAUGGAGAUAGUUGGGAUACUAGUUUGCCCUACGCCGAGUUCUCCUAUAACAAUAGCUAUCAGACUAGUCUUAAGAUGACUCCUUUUGAAGCCUUGUAUGGAAGGAAGUGUAGGACUCCAUUGUUCUGGAACCAGACUGGUGAAAGGCAAGUGUUCGGCCCUGAUUCAUUGAGAAUAGCCGAAGAAAGAGUUCAGUUCAUCCGACAGACUCUGAAAGCAGCUCAGUCUAGACAGAAGAGUUAUGCAGAUGUGAGACGAAGGGAACUUGUGUUUCAGGCAGGUGAUUAUGUAUACCUAAAAGUGUCUCUGAUGAGAGGUCUAAAGAGGUUCAAUGUCAAGGGAAAGCUAGCUCCAAGGUAUGUUGGUCCUUUCAAGAUUUUGGAGAGGAAAGGAGAAGUGGCUUAUCAGCUUGAGUUGCCUGCUAGUUUAUCCAAUGUGCACAAUGUUUUCCAUGUCUCCCAAUUCAAGAAAUGCUUGAGAGUGCCUGAGGAACAGUUGCCACUAGAGGAACUGGAUUUACAGCAAUGAUCUGGACACAGCAGAGAGAAUUACGAGAAGUAAAACUAUCAGGAUGUGUAAAGUACAAUGGAAACAUCACUGUGAGGAGGAAGCAACCUGGGAAAGAGAGGAUGAUCUGAUAUCCAAAUAUCCUCAGUUAUUCUCUAGUUCAUCCUAAUCUCGAGGACAAGAUUCUUUUAAGGGGGAUAGGUUUAUAAUACUCCAAAUUUUUGAAUUUCAAAUUUAGUUUAAAUUUGAUUUAAUUUUGGGCUUAGUUUGAAUUUUUGAGAAUUAUUAAAUAAUUUACAAAAAGAAAUAAAAAUUAAAUAUAAGGUAGAAAACAUGUUUGUGUGCAUUCAUGCUGCUGCACUUAUUUUUGUUUGAUUUGUUUGCUUGUGCUUGAAUUAUUUUUUGUUGGAAGAAAGAAAUAAAUAGGAGAAAUCUGUUAAAAAAAAGAAAAAGAAAAGGGGCAAGCGCCCUGGGCCGGCCUCCCCCUCUCCCCGCACGGCCCAGCAGCGGCCCAGCCGCAGAGCAGCAGCGCGUAGCCCACCUGCAGCGCCCCCUGCCCCUGCUCUCUCGCCCGCGCCAGCUGACCGGUGGGCCCCGCAGGUGGGACCCACCUGUCAUCCCCGAGCUCCGACCGUUUCGGAAACGGCCGCGCCGCCACCUCGGCUUCCGAGCUGCACGCGCACCCCGAGGUUCACCCUAGCCUAUUUAAGGCAUCCCUCGGCCGCCCGCAACCCCCCUAGAACCCUAGCUUCGCUCCUGAGCCGCCGCGUGUUCGUUUCACCGAAACCCGCGCCGACGCCGUCAACCUCGCCGCCGCCGCCGUCGCACUCCUCUCCGCGCUGCCGGUUUCGCGAAGGUGAGCCGCGCCCCGUCCUCGCUGCGUCGUGCCGACCCCGGUGGUGCCCUCGGCGUGCUCCGUCUCGCCCCGUAGGGCCGUGCCCGCAACCUCACCGGCGGCGGCCAUGGCGCCGCCGUCCCUGCCCGCCGCGCCGCCGUGGUCCUGCUCGCCUCGCCCCGCGCGCGGUCCACCAUGGACCGCGGCUCGGCGCCCUCGGCCGGUCCACCAUGGACCCGGCCCCCGUCGCUCUCUGCCCUGGCCCCGGUCCACCAUGGACCGGUGGACCACCGCCGCGCCCCGGUCCACCGCCCGCGCCGUGGACCCGGCCACUCCCGCGCCGCCACGUGGCCAGGCUGGCCACGGCCCCCGCGCGUCCCUGCGCAUUUUGCAAAGAGGCCCCUGCCUUUCUUUGAAAUCAACCCGCACUCCAUUUAGUUAUGUUUUUGUUUAAAAUAUGCCCCUGGUUUUUGCAGAAAAGCCCUAUUAGCUGUUGGUUUUUAUAGAUUUAAUCCAAAAUGCUUUUUAAUUCAGUUUUAAUUAGUUUUAAUUACGAAAAAUAGUUCAGUUUAUCUACAGAAUUGCCAUCCAACUUGUUUUGGCCAUAACUUUUGCAUCGUAACUCCGAUUUAGGUGAUUCUGGUCGCUAUAGUUUCGUUUCGUCGAGUAGAAUACAGUAGUACAAUUGCUUUCUAUUUUUGCAUGCUUUGGUGUACUGUUUCUGAUUAAGCUUGUUUGCUUGCAUGUAUUGUUCCUAUGAUUGAUGAUUGUCGCGUAUAGCCAACGAGACGUUCGUGAAGGAAGAGGUUCAGGAUCCCGCUGAGUUCGAGCAACCCGACAUCGAUCAAGGCAAGUGCAGACAUCGUUUGAUCAUUUUGAACCUACUCAUUAAUGUCAUUUACUUUACAUGCAUGUGUCCAAUGAAUGCAAACCCUAAGGACAUGACUAGCUUUACUUACUAUUCCUUGUUCACCUGGGGUUAUGUAUAUGGGUAGUCUAGGCUAUACUAGGUUUGCUUAGCUGCUCUACUCUCCUUAUUCACAUGCCUAAACAAGUAAUAAUCUCUACUCAACUUGAUGCUUAAAUUGUGCUGAACCUUUGGUCACUGCGGUGAUGGCGAUGAUGGAUGCUUACGAGCAUCGUGAUGAUGGUGGUGACAGGGGGAGCGGGUACCGUUGGUGGUCCGGUUUGCCGGGCGUACCCGUCUCUGCUCUCCGUAAGGACUUAGUCAGGGAGCGGCCCCCUGGGACUUACAGUGCAGCUCCAAGCUAUAUGGCUCUGGCUUGACUAAUUAGCAGGACCUCCACUAGUAGGGUGUUACUUUCCGGGUAGGCGUGAGGAAGUAACUUGGGUAAUGAAUAUUAAGUUGUCGGUUGAUCGGUACGCCAUGGCUAUGGGUAUCGACUGCCGAGCGUCCCGGCAAAAACUUGCGAGUGGCAUCCUAUUAGUUGGACCCUGUGAAAGGUCUCGUAGUGAGACCCUGCCUGCUCACCUUGAAAGUGUUUUGGGGAGUCGCGACCCCGGGCAAAUGGGAAUCACGACUUGGAGUGAACGUGCACACCUCUGCAGAGUGUAAAACUGAUAUAUCAGCCGUGCUCACGGUCACGAGCGGCCCAGACCCUCACUUGAUGAGCAAUUUGGAUUCACUGGAUACUUGGAGAUGGACCUUGGCGAGGUUGCUACCUCGUGUUUGGCGGAAUGGCUAUUCCGUGUUGGCAGGAUUGCUAUCCUGUGUUAAUAAUUGGGGUUAAUCCCUGGAUUACUGUAAUAGUUAGGAUAGUACUUUAAAAGAUGCUAAUUACUACUUACACUAAUUAAGGGUUGGGUUUAUGCUACUCAUGAUUAGUAAUAGGUUGUUCUUAUAAUAGUCAUAAUUAAAAGUGACCAACUAAAAUGCUACCGCAGUCAAACCAAGUCAGCUUUACCUUGUUUUAAGCCUUGCAUGUCAUUACUUUCCGUCUGUGCUUGCUGAGUUCGACAUGAGCUCACCCUUGCUAUAAUCAUUAAAGGUUGCUCGGACGAUCAGGAGUACAAUUGCGAUUUCCCUGAGGACUACCCUGAGUCUCCUGGCUGUUAGGCUCGUGUGGUUCUGCCGUCGACCUUCCUGUGGCAAGGUGGUCCUGCUACGUCGGCGUCUAGUUUCCCUUUUAUUUAUGGAACAGUUUAGCUUAUGUUUUCCCCUUCGCACUUUGAUAAACUUUUGGCUUGUAAUAAUGGUACAUUUACUCUCAUUUAUGUAAUUCGUUUGAACAUUGUGUUUUGUACCAUUGAUGAUGUCGGUCCAUGUGUGUGAAUUUGAGAUCCUGGCGCACAUGUGAUUUGGCACCCGAAUGCUCUUUUACAUCCGGGUGUGACAGUAGUCAACUCAUCAACCGUCUCCCUGGUAACGGCGCCAAAAAGCUUGUUGACACUUGCUAACACCACUUGAAUACUAGCUUGUCAUCCCCAGCAUGGCACUAGAGUGUACUAUGGUAUUUAUGCGCACACAGAUAAAUCCGCAAGUGCACGGAUACCGUUGUAGCUUUUACCCGGUUAAAGGUUUUAUCGUAUCCAUAGGGAAACGGGAGAACCAACUACGCUCUAACUUAACCAAGAUAGAUAGAUAGGUAUAAAUAGGAAAUGUGAUAUAAUUGAAUUAGAACAAUAUUAAAGGUAAAAUGAUAAUGGGGUAAUAUAGAGUAGAGCAAUCUAAUAUAUGGACAAUAAUAGGAGAAUAGAGAGGAUAAUUGGGGUUUCUCUACUUCAAAGGGGUAUGUUUGUAUGUGGUGUACCAUAAGUAUAAAACAACACAGAGGAUGCUUAUACCUAAUAAGGUCGAGGACUCCUACCAGUCCUGCUAAUGGGAGGUGGACUACAGAGGACCACGUAGCUGUCACCUACGCGGCCAACCACACGAUCCGGCUAACAUGGGAUAUCCACAAGUAAUCUAGGCCUAAGCACCAUGCUUACACCUAUACUGCAACUCUCACCUAUAGCGUCCUAUAGAUUAAAGUACUCAAAAGAGUUAUGAACCAGAACAUACAUGGAUAGCAAUUGCAUAAUGAAACAGAAGUAGAUUACCAGAGUCAUCCCAUGAGCAAGCUUGAUUAGAGCUUGAUCAUGGAGAAGUACAACCGGAGAAAGAACCGACAGACCGGCCUCUCCUCUAAUCCUCCCUCGCUCUCCAUCUCGCUACUAUCUAGAUCUACUCUAGUUUAAUGAAGAGAUGAGAGCUCUCAUCUCCAAACCCUAGCUUUUGCUCUGUCUAUGAAUAAUAAAUAGGGGAUGCAGAGGUGUCUCCUCUAGGGGCCAGGGGGCCUGCUUAUAUAGCCCUUCCAAAUGAACGUGGGCCGUCGGAUCAAACUAAUCUUAAUCGCACGGUUUUCCUUAAUCAUUUAGGUCGGUGGAGCAUAAUCCGCGAGGCGGAGCCUGAUUGGCUGCCAGAGCAGGGCGAGCGCCCUAGGGGGGAGGGCGGGCACCCUGUCCCUGGGCCCGCUCGGCCUCCCGUUCGUUCCUGUGGCUUCUGGACUCUUCUAGAUGAUAGAAAAUUGGCGCACACCUUAAUAUCUCUAUGUAAACCCGACGUGUGGGCCUUUCCUCCAUAUUUCCUGAUAACCCCCUGCAGAAAUAGACAAACACCAAAACUCAUAGAAUUUUGUCAGAUAAAACCCUAAGUCUGGGUGUUGGUUGCAUUUGGAUCCUUUUCUUUAUUUAUUUGAUGAAUAAAUUUGAUACUUAAGUACCGUCAACAAUCAGCUUCUUUGCAUAGUACGUAUUAGCAGGCACUUUGUUCUCCUUUGAAAGCAUAUAGUCGAUAAUACUUAAGAACACAUCGAAUCCAGCAUCAAGACCAACCAUACCUGGCUUUUGCAGCCAUAUCAUUUGGUAAGACAUGAGUUCUUGCACCAUCAUUUCCCCAGCAAAUCCACCAGUAGUAACAUUUGGCAUAACAUGUUCACUCUGGGGUGUGUCGUGGAAAAACUGAUCAGCAGGCAUGCCUGGACCAUCGGUGUCAAUGUUUGCUAGGUCCCCAAGUGUAUAAGGCGCUGAGCUACCCUUUCCAUGCUUUGUCCAAAUCAAGUAAUCCUUCAUAAAUCCUCGGCAGACUAGAUGAGAAAUGAUUACUUAAGUAUCUUCAAAUAGAAGAAUAUUUCUGCAGUCAUAGCAUGGACAAUAUAUGUGCUUCGUCUUUGUUCUCAAAGCAUGGUUCUUAGCGGCAUCAACAAACCUAUGCACCUCGGGUAUAUAUGAUAGAUCUAGUCUUGAUAAGUUAUACAUCCAUAAGGACCUCUCCAUCAUGACAUGUUGAAAAAUUAGUAAAUUAAUUGAAAUAUUGUCUAGGAAUAUUUGUUAUAAAAAAUAAAGAACACCUAACAAUGAAAUCAAAUAGAAAAAGUAAAACAAGUAUCAAAAAUAAAGACAAAACCCUAAGUAAUAAUUCAAAAAAGUACACCUAACAACUAAAUCAAAUUGACAAGGUACAAAAACACUGUUGAUGGAAACUAAAUAUAUAUCUUUAUAUCACUAAAAUAAAUUUGAGAAGGAAACAUGGAAAUGGUGAGAGGAGAGGCAACAUCUUAAGCAACCUCAUACAUGAAAAAUGCUUAUUGCAUAAUUAAAUCAAAUUUACAUAAAAAAUAACAUCCUAAACAAUAUAAUUUAAAAAACUAAAAAGAAAACUUAUCUUUCUCUCUCUUUUCAAGCAUGGAAACACCAUUCAUGGAAACUACUAUAUAUAUAUUUCUUGGAUUCACUAAUUAGAGAAGGAAACAUAAAAAAGAAGAGAGGAGAGACAUCAUCUAACCAUCUUAAUCAACCUCAUUUGAGCAAAUAUAGACCAUACCAAGCUAUUCUACUCUCUCCCUCUCAUGGUGAAACCCUAGAUCCAAAAAGUAGCUCAAAUUGAGCAAGAGGGCACAAAAAGAGGCAUUAUAGGCAUCAACUAACCUUUCUUUCCAAGAAAUGAAGAUCAAAACCUCCCCCUUAUAUUUUGGAAAAUCUGGACCUCCAAGAUGGGCUGCAAUGGAAGGUGGCUGUGAGCUACAGUUCUGUCCGAGGAGGAAGAAGGGGGCUGGGGGUAUUUUAUUUACACAGGCGGUUCAGUUAUGUGAACCGCCUGUGUUAAUAGAUUUACACAGGCGGUUCACAUAACUGAACCGCUUGUGUAAAUGAACCAUUUAUACAGGCGGUUUUCUUACGAUAACCGCCUGUACUGAGCCUUUUAAACAGGUGGUUUUCAAUUCUGGCCGUACAAAUUUACAACAUAGACGCAUUAUAAUUAAAACCGCCUGUGCAAAUUUUUUACCCCCGCCUGUGUAAAUUUUUUACCCCCGCCUAUGGCGGUUUCCUUAUGUGGUCGAGGCAGUUUUAUGAACCGCCUUGGUUAAGCUAUAACUUAUGAUGAAGUGAAACUAGUUUGACAUGUACACUACUCAUAGUUGCAUUGUUUUGUGGAUGGAGGGAGUACUCCUAUUACCCUACGUACUCACUAGUAUACUGUCAGUGCUAAUACUACGAUGAUGUUUAGAAAAAAAUCAUAAAACCAAAAAAAAAUCAUAAAACUAAAAAAUAACCAAACCUUCCCCACUAACAAAAAAAAAGUUUCUUUUGAAAAGGAGAAAGAACCAACAACUCUCAGAUGGCCUUUGCCAAUACCAAUACAACUUCUUUUGCUAAUACAAAAUAUCACACUCAAAAAUUGAGGAACAAAUGCUAUGACCGUGCUAACACUAUGCAACAUUCGGGUAUAUGCAAAUUAGAUUGAAAUAUCAUUAUAAAAAAAUCUUGGAAAUAUUACAAAAUAUCAUUGUUGGCUUAGAGACCAACAAAUCAAAUGUACUAACAGAUUGGGUUGAAUGAACUCUAUUCUUUUCACCUGUUGAUGAUACAAUUCCUCUUUUCACACAAGCAAUAUUGAUGGUAGACACGCAGUUGAAGAGACACUCUAAAUAAUUUAACAAUAAACUCAGUAAAUGAAAACAGUGCAGUUCAUGAGGAGCAUGCCUAUGGCUUUCAUGUUUUCUGUCCGGUCCAUGUUUUCUAUCCUGGUUCUGGCCCCUUGCUAGGCUCCUCCCAUGAUUAUUAUCCUGAAAAGAUGAUAAAAGGGAAUUUAGCUUGGUAGAUUCACUUCAAAAGUGCUCACAGACAGGUGAUCUAGAAGCAGAUUCCUACAAUGAGGAAAGCGUGAAGGGCACAGGCAAUGGCUAUAGUAGCUAUAUAUAGUAGCUGGUAGAGAAUUGAGGAUGACACAAACCUUUCAGUUAUAAUGCAAUAGGCCAGUCUACUGCACGGAGGCUUAUAUCUUAUGAAAAUUCAUUAUUAACACGAAGGUAUAAAACAAGCACGCAACAAGAAAAGAAGUGCACACACCUGAAUCAUUGCUGCAUACAUGUCGACAUAUGCAACAACGAAUGUUAGUCUCUAUUUCAUGCUCGUGCCUACAGAAUUAGAGAUAUCAUGAGGAAAAAAAAUCCAAAGCUCAAGAAGUUUAUAUAAAACAGUUGUUAAAAAUGCAUACAAUUGUUAAAAAUGCAUUGGAAUUAAUUCUGAGCAUUACUUAUAAUCUAUUGGGGUGUUGUCUCAUGGCAUCCAUAUAAGAGUCAGAAAUAAACAUAAACAAAUUCCAAAUAUAUUACAGAGUUCGUACCAUGCAGACUUACAUUUAAAGCAUGCAGAUGCUUUGGAACCGCGUAUAUGCAAACUCUGUAAUAGACAACGCUGAGGAUUUAACACCAUGGCUAUUCCUUGGCAUGCUAUUCUGAAUGAAAUGCAGCAAAUUUGGUUCAUUAUAUUGUGAUAAGGAGUUAAUGAAUCCAAUUACUGGGGAACAAUUAGAAGUAUCUACACAGAACGACCAAGCACAUUGCAGUUAUUAAGUAGGAUCUGAGGUUCUCACUUGUCAAGCAUGAUCAACAUGGUGUUCUCCGGUACCUUGAACCUUAUUUAGUGUCAGCUUCUUGAAGAAUUUGUUCUUGUCCUCCCCAUAUUCCUUUUUUAAGUAAUGUUUGAAAAAAAAGGAGUAGUAUUUAAAUAUUUGUUAGUGAGGGUUGAACUAUAACAGGUAGUAAAUUAAAUACUUGAUACACACAACUGUUAAAAUUAAAUUAUAUAUUUGUUUAUAGAACUUGAAUACUCCCUCCAAAUUCGUUUGCUCAUCGAUCUUGGUGAGUCAAGAGGAACCAUCUGAUCGUGCGCUGCUAUUGUAGUGUACCAUCCCUUCCUUCUCCUCUAGCACCUCGCAGGAGGCUAAAGGGAGUGGAGAUCCAUUGAUUUUAACAAGUUUUUCUAGUGGAUCGAGUCCUUAGGGUUAGGGUCUUCGCAUGCCAAGUUUCUUGGCAUUAGGGAUUUAUCUCCUCCUCUUCUCUAGUGACAGCGAGUGGUAGGAUAAAAUUAUUUUCUCCAUGGCGACUUUGUUGAAGAUAAGGACGACAACUACGGCGUUAGCAACUUCAUCGACAUUGGCGAUAUAGAAACUUUUCUUUCAAGACAGUGACAUCAAGGCGGAGAUGAUGUCGCCGCCCAUGGCAUAAUUUUCUUCAGUCUCUUCUCUAUUUUGUUGUAGUUAUAUUUGACUAUGAUGAAGGACUAGAGAAUAAAUUUUAGAUCAGUCUUUCUCAUCUUCGAUGACCAAAAGAAGAAGAAAGACAUAAGAAAGAAGAAAUUUGUCAACUCCGGUUGCAGGAAUAUUGACCAUCUUUGUUGGGCCUCUAUUCUCAGCCUUUUUUUUUUGCCUAGUUGUUUUUGGCUGAGCAGUAAUCCAUACUAAGCAUCAUAUAUUUUUGCCGGCCUGCCGUAGUUUGCAGGUCCAAAUAAACGGCUGUUAAUCAUUAUAUAUAACUUGAUUUACACACAGUUGGGCGCUGUUGAUGCUGCUGUCCAGGUGCAGGCCGGAUAUAUCGUUCCAUUGAAGAAACCAACGACAAUUGUACCCACGGUGAACAUGGAAGCAAGUUUCACCUUCAAAGAAAGUGAAUCUCAAGCAACGAUCCUCUGAAGUCUGAACUUGAAGAAGAGAAACGGCGAUCAUUUUUUUUAAAAAAAAAAACCAGCGAAAAUGUGUCCGUCUGCGUGUGCGCGUACAUUUAUCUCUCCGGAUUAAUUGAACCGUAAGUAAUGCAUCGCCAUGUGCAGGCUGUUGUUACUUGUUAGCUAUUUCCUGGUCCGGCUUGCUUCAUUCGAUCAUCGAUGCGCUUGUCAAUCAAUUUUUUUAAUAAUUAAUCAAAUCACCAGCUAGGGUAAGGCCGUGUGUAUAUAUAUACUAAUAUACCCACCAGACCGUUGCACAAAUCAAAUCAUCACAACACAAACAAUCUCUAGCUAGACACUAGCAGAACAAAUAAACCAGUCCGUGCACUCAGCAUCCCAGCUCCACGUUCUGUGCAGUUUCAAGGCCGGCAUACAAACCCCCGAGCAGUAUGGGUAUGGCUCCAGCUCGAGUUCUUGGAUUCGUGUCGCUCGCAGUCGCCUGCAUGCUGGCCAUCAUGGCCGCCGCUGGUGACGCCGCCACCAGCACUCCGUCGUCUCCGACGCCGACCACCGGAUGGCUGAAGGCGCAUGCCACGUUCUACGGCGGCGCCGAUGCCUCUGACACCAUGGGUAAGCAGCAAGCUAAGUCGCUCUCUCUAUGUUUUGCCAUGCAUGGUUUAUUACCUAAAGCUAGCACAGGCAGAGCUAAUAACUGUAUCAAAUUGUAUUUAUUCGCACGAGGGGCGUGCGGGUACGGGAACCUCUACUCCCAGGGCUACGGCACGCGGACGGCGGCGCUGAGCACGGUGCUCUUUUAGGAUGGGGCCUCAUGCGGCCAGUGCUACAAGAUCGCGUGCGACCGCCAGUGUCGGUCCUAUAAUUUUGGGCCCUCUGGCGAAUUUAUCGUGACGACCUCUCUAUAAACUAUAAAAAUCUUAUAAUAAUAUAAGUUAAUUUUAUUCAUAAGAAGAAAGUAAAUUGAAUCAUAUAUAGAUAAACUGCACUUCUUGUCUUUUCAUUUUUUCAAAGCCCCUGACAAAUGUUUCUUAGGUAACACUCUAAAAUUCUAACAUAUGACUUUAUGAGUACAAAGUACUAGAGAAAAAUUAGAUAAGAAAAAAAACCUAGUUCCUAAACAUUUGGGACAUGAACUAAUUCAGAAUCAGAAUCAUGAUUCACAAAUCACAAAAAAUAAAAGGGUAGAAGGAAAGAACCAGAUCACAUGUCAUAGCCCUCGUCGAGCCUUGCCAGCUGGUCAUCACCGUUGUCAUUUGGAUUUUGGAAUAGCCCUCGUCGAGCCCUGCCAGCUGGUCAUCGCCGUUGUCGUUUGGAUUUUGGAAGACUAGAACUCAAACGCAAAGGUUUCAGUAUUAUCCACUGCAGCUGGUGAUCACGUUGUGAACUAGUGAUCGUGUUGCUGAUGUCGUUGUGUCUCUCCUCGCGGUCUCGCCGUCUCACGAGAAGUCUAAAAGUCGUGACUCGUGAUGGCUAUGUGUGGUAGCAUGUGUACGGGCAUUGGCGGCUUAGCUCCUUGGCUCACGACUUUUUUUUAGUGAUAGACCUGCUGCAUCGUAUAUAUGUAUGUACUAAUAAAUAAGGACUAUAGUUAAAAAAUAUGUGGUAUUAUAUAUUUAGGAUUGGGCCCCUAUUCCGCGAGGGCCCUCGGCCGUCGCACCUCCUGCCCUUCCCUUAGGGCCGGCACUGGCGACCGCAAAAGAGCCAACCCCAGGUUCUGCAAGCCUGGCGUCACAGUCACCAUCACGGCCACCAACUUCUGCCCGCCCAACUCGGCGCUGCCCGACGGCGGCUGGUGCAAUCAGCAGCGCCCGCACUUCGACAUGGCGCAGCCGGCGUUCGAGAAGAUCGGCGUCUACACCGGCGGCAUCAUCCCCGUCAUGUACAAGAGGUACAUUUUAUGAGUUUAAUUGCCGAUUAAGUGUGUAGUCUCUACUGAUAACAAAUUUAUGCAUGAUGGAUGCAAUAUCCUGUCUUGAGUAAAGUAAAAAUGCAUGCUUUAAUUUGCAGGGUUCCUUGUGUGAAGCGAGGUGGGGUGCGGUUCACAAUCAAUGGUCACGACUACUUCAAUCUCGUACUCGUGACCAAUGUUGCAGGAGCUGGCUCCAUCAAGUCAAUGGACGUCAAGACCUCCAACUCCAAUAGUUGGAUACCAAUGGCACGCAACUGGGGUGCGAAUUGGCACUCUCUUACGCACCUUACUGGACAGAUGCUCUCAUUUAGAGUAACGGACACGGAUGGACAAACUAUUGAAUUCACAAACGUUGUGCCACAAGGAUGGAAGUUUGGCCAAACGUUUGCAUCCAAGUUACAAUUCAAGUGAGCUCCGUACGUGCAGGAUUUCGAGUGACCCAAAUAGUUGCGCACUUGUGGGAGUAUAUAUGAUUCGAAGACGCUCAAAAUGUAUGCAUGCAUGUA